This is a non-coding RNA of Bos taurus (domestic cattle), 46 nucleotides long. Lineage: Eukaryota; Metazoa; Chordata; Mammalia; Artiodactyla; Bovidae. The record is from Rfam.
CUUAAGGCCUUUCUCAAGGCCACCCUGAGACUCUCAGACAGAACUG